UAAUUGAUGGUAAUGUGUGUCACCAGUAU
This 29-nucleotide small RNA is filed under the name Bombyx mori (domestic silkworm). RNAcentral's name for it is "ovarian small RNA-5878". The record is from RNAcentral. Lineage: Eukaryota; Metazoa; Arthropoda; Insecta; Lepidoptera; Bombycidae.